CCUACGGGAGGCAGCAGUGAGGAAUAUUGGUCAAUGGGCGAGAGCCUGAACCAGCCAAGUCGCGUGAGGGAAGACGGUCCUAUGGAUUGUAAACCUCUUUUGCCGGGGAGCAAAAAGCGGUACGCGUACCGCAUCGAGAGUACCCGGAGAAAAAGCAUCGGCAAACUCCGUGCCAGCAGCCGCGGUAAUACGGAGGAUGCGAGCGUUGUCCGGAUUUAUUGGGUUAAAAGGGUGCGCAGGCGGAGAGUUAAGUCAGCGGUAAAAUUUCGGGGCUCAACCCCGACAAGCCGUUGAAACUGGGGUGCUAGAGUGGGCGAGAAGUAUGCGGAAUGCGUGGUGUAGCGGUGAAAUGCAUAGAUAUCACGAAGAACUCCGAUUGCGAAGGCAGCAUACCGGCGCCCAACUGACGCUCAGGCACGAAAGCGUGGGUAUCGAACAGGAUUAGAUACCCUUGUAGUC
Molecule: ribosomal RNA, 459 nt
Filed under: uncultured bacterium
Lineage: Bacteria
Description: partial 16S ribosomal RNA
Rfam family: Bacterial small subunit ribosomal RNA
Source: RNAcentral